This 4210-nucleotide long non-coding RNA is filed under the name Homo sapiens (human). RNAcentral describes it as "HSALNT0253859". The record is from RNAcentral. Lineage: Eukaryota; Metazoa; Chordata; Mammalia; Primates; Hominidae.
GUGAGGACUGAGGGCGAGGGGCGCGUGGAUGAGGGGCGCGCGGGUGAAGAGUGAGGGGAGCGCGGGUGAAGGGUGAGGGGAGCGUGGGUGAGGGGUGAGGGGUGAGUGAUGCGCGAGUGAAGGGUGAGGGGCGCCUGGGUGAGGGGUGAGGGGUGAGGGGCGCGCCGGUGAAGGGUGAGGGGAGCGUGGGUGAGGGGUGAAGGGUGCGCGAGUGAUGGGCGGGUGUGUGUAGGGUGAGGGACGCGUGGGUGAGGGGCGCGGGGGUGUGAGGCGAGGGGUGCACGGGUAAGGGGCGAGCCGCGAGGUUGAGGGGUCCACGCUGAGGGUUGCUUCCCCGCCAGCCGCGGCCUCUUCUCCACGAUCCCGGCCCCCUGCCCCCUGCCCCCUGCCCGACUGGUUUUAUGGGGGAUCAUAAGGACAGUCACCACCUAACUAGGAGCAAAUCCCCAACAAUCGAGGAAACAGGGCGCUCCUGCCUUGCGCCCCCAGGCUGGCGUUGGAACUUCUUUAGAGCCAGCGCUGCGGAGCCCCAGCACCAGGAACGUAGAGAGGCUGUGGAGGCAUGGGGCAAAUUGUGCCCGCAGCCUGGGGCCUAGAGCUGCAUCUGUGCACGGGGCCUCCAGGAGCCCGGCUCAGUGGACGAAAUCUGGCAUGCUCGGACGUCACCCCACAGGCCUCACGCCUCAGAGGCACCCCGAAAGGUGCUGCGCUUGUCACAUAGCUUCCUGCAAACAAGAGAAGCCGACCAAGCCAUGCACAGCUGGAAAAUGGCCCUUAUAAAGCCAUCAAGUCCUAAUCCAGGCAACCUGUAAAUAUUACCUCGUAUGGGAAAACAAUUUUUUUUUCUAAUGUCAUUAAGGAUCUUGAGAUAGAGAGAUUGUCCUGGAUUAUCCAGGUGGGCCCUAAACACUGUGGCUCACGCCUAUAAUCCCAGCACUUUGGGAGCCUGAGGCAGGUAAAUCUCUUGAGCCCAGGAGUUCGAGACCAGCCUGAGCAACAUGGUGAGACCUCGUCUCUACAAAAGAUAGAAAAAUUAUCUGGGCAUGGUAGUGUGCACCUGUAGUCCCAGCUACUCCUGAGGUGGAAGGAUUGCUUGAGGCCAGGAGGUUGAGGCAGCAGUGAGCCAGGAUCGCACCACUGCACUCUAGCCUCGGUGACAAAGUGAGACCCUAUCUCAAAAAUAAAUACAUACAACAGAGACAGGGUCUCUGUGUUGGCCAGGCUGGUCUUGAACUCCUGGCCUCAAGCGAUCCUCCUGCCUUGGCCUCUCAAAGUGCUGGGAUGACAGGCAUGAGCCAGCGUGCCCGGCCACAUGCAUCUUUGUAAGAGGGAGGCAGAAGGAAAUUUGGUGCCACACAGAAGAGAGGGCCAUGGGAAGAUGGAGCAGAGAUGAAGAUGGGGCCUUGAAAAUUGACGUGAUGCAGUCCCAAGCCAAGUAACGCCGGAGCCACCAGAGGCCCCAGAAACAAGGAGCAGAUUCUCCCCAGGAGCCAUGCGAGGGAGCCUGGCCCUGCCAAUGCCUUGAUUUCAGCACAUUAAAAGUGAUUUUGGACUUUUGGCCUCCAGAGCUGUGAAGGAAUAAACUUCUGCUGUUGUAAAAGCCACUUAGCUGUGGUCAUUUGUUGCAGGAGCCAAUGAGUGACUGACAAGAUCAGAGCUGUGACACAGAGGAAGCAGAGCUGUGCCUCAUGCUUUCCAGGCUCUGCUCAUGAGAAACAGGUCACUGGGUUGGCCCGGUGCAGAUUAAGGUGUCACGUAGGAGCAUGAAUACCUCAGGGAACCACUUAAGAAUUUGCCUAACACAUGGUGCUUAUAAAAGGAAAAGCAAACAAAGCAACCUUGUUCUGAGAGCUGGGACAUCAGAGGAAGAUUGGAGCCACUGUUUCUCACUCAGCCUAUUUCUUUUUAUUUUAUUUAUUUAUUUUAUAGAGACGGGGAGCUCACUAUGUUGGCCAGUUUGGUCUUUGAACUCCUGGCUUCAAAGGAUCCUCUCACCUAGGCCUCCCAAAGUGCUGGGAUUACAGGAGUGAGCCACCUUGCUGGUCGCGCACCCCAUUUUUUAAGGAAACCUGUACGGAAGGUGGAUUGGAAGUCUCACUUUAGGAGCCUGGCUCAGAAGUUCCGCAACUUCAACUGGUGUCAUGUGACGUGCUUGGCAGUCACCACCCCCAUCCUUACAGCAAAGAAUAGCAGGGCAGCCUUUCAUGGGCCCAUCAGAGAACUAAGGCUGCCAGACAAACUGGCACCCUGCUCUGAAGAGACAGGCACAUCCAGGGAGAGACAGCACCUGAGAGCUGCUCACCCAGAGCAGAAACUCCUGGAUAAACUGGCUUUAGCAGAAAAAUUAGACAACAUGCAAGACCAGAUAGGUGAUAUCAGCAGAAAGAUGGAAACAAUAAUAAAAAAAAAAUGCUAGAAGUCAAAAACACAAUAGAAAUAAAGAAUGCUCAUUAGUUGACUAGACAGAAUGAAGGAAAGAAUCAGUGAAUAUGAAGAUAAGUCAACAGAAACUUCCCAAACUGAAAUUCAAGGAGAAAAGGUGAUGAAAAAAAAAAAAAUCAACUGAUCUAGUUUGAGUGUGUGUCCCCACCAAAUCUCAUGUUGAGUUAUAAUCACCAGUUUUGGAGGUGGGGCUUGGCAGGGGGUGUUUGGAUCAUGGGGGCGGGUUCCUCAUGAAUGGCUUGCACCAUCGCUUCAUCCCCUUGUGAUGAGUAAGCUCUCACUCUGAGUUCAUGUGAGAUCUGUUUUUGUUUUUGUUUUUGUUUUGAGACGGAGUCUCGUUCUGUUGCCCAGACUGGAGUGCAGUGGCACAGCACAGUCUCAGCUUACUGCAACCUCCUGGGUUUAAGUGAUUCUUGUGCCUCAGUCUCCCGAGUAGCUGGGAUUACAGGCUUGUGCCACUAUGCCUGGCUAAUUUAUUGUAUUUUUAGUAGAGAUGGGGUUUCACCAUGUUGACCAGGCUGGUCUCAAACUCCUGACCUCUUGAUCCACCCACCUCGGCCUCCCAAAGUGCUGCGAUUAUAGGCAUGAGCCACCGCGCCCGCCUGAGAUCUGUUUUUCUUUAAAGUGUCUGGCACCUACCCACACCCUCACUCUCUCUCUCUCUUGCUCCUGCUUUUACCGUGUGAAAUGCCUGCUCCCACUUUGCCUUCCGCCAUGAGUAAAAGUUCCCUGAGGCCCCCAAGAAGCUGAGCAGAUGCUGGUGCCAUGCUGGUAUGGCCUGCAAGAACUGUGAGCCAAUUAAAUCUCUUCUCUUUAUAAAUUACUCUGUCUCAGGUAUUUCUUUAUAGCAAUGCAAGAACAGCCUAAUACACCAACAGAAAACACCAUCCAAGAACAACAUCAAAGGAUAUGAUUGGUACAAUGGGAGAAUCGGAAGGAGGAAAGAGGAGAAGGGGCAGGAGAAAUGGUGGAAUGGCAAGAAUGUCCCCAAAUUAAUGACAGACACCAAACCAUAGAUCCAGGAAACAUACAGAACAUCCAUCAGGACAAAUAACAAAAAACAUAAAGCAAAACAAAACAAAAAACCACACCUAGGCUUGUCACAUUCAAACUGAAUAAACCUGCCUGACUGAACCCUCGUCCACCAGCCACAGCUACACCUCUGACAAGACAAGAGACAGAUUUCAGUAACUCUCCUGGUAAGAGACCACUGACCAUGGCUGGUCCCGGCUGGUUUACAAACUCUGUGCACCAAGUGCCUUUGAGUCUUAGAAAGACCUUUUGAUGUAUAGGGCCUAACUGUAAUACAUGUAAAUGUUACAUCUCUACCCCAAAGUGAACAUGGGUCAUGUGAUACAUACAGCAAGACCCCCUUCAUGAAUAUUCAUAGCUCCUCAUGUAACCUAUUAAGUAUAUUUAGCCAACCAAGUCAGCAUAAAGCUCGUGCCCCAUCCUCUCCUCCUCUGAAGGGCCUGUGUCUGGUCUUGUGGGAUGUCUAUCUUGCAAGUUAUUUAAGAAAUAGUCUCCUUUUCUAAAUGCAGUGUUGUGUGAUUUUUUAAGUUAACAAGAGGAAUAUGAAUAAAAAUGACCGUGGACUUCUUGUUAGAAAUCAUGCGGAUAACAAAAGGGUAGAGUGAAAUCUUUUUUUUUUUUUUUUUUUGAGACAGAGUCUCGCUCUGUUGUCCAGGCUGGAGUGCAGUGGCGCAAUCUCGGCUCACUACAAGCUCCGCCUCCCGGGUUCACGCCAUUCUCCUGUCUCAGCCUCCCG